RNAcentral lists this ribosomal RNA (487 nucleotides) under uncultured bacterium. RNAcentral's name for it is "bacterial SSU rRNA". It matches the Rfam family "Bacterial small subunit ribosomal RNA", at positions 501 to 987 of the family's 1533-position model. The record is from RNAcentral.
CUACGUGCCAGCAGCCGCGGUAAUACGUAGGGUGCGAGCGUUAAUCGGAAUUACUGGGCGUAAAGCGAGCGCAGACGGUUACUUAAGCAGGAUGUGAAAUCCCCGGGCUCAACCUGGGAACUGCGUUCUGAACUGGGUGACUAGAGUGUGUCAGAGGGAGGUAGAAUUCCACGUGUAGCAGUGAAAUGCGUAGAGAUGUGGAGGAAUACCGAUGGCGAAGGCAGCCUCCUGGGAUAACACUGACGUUCAUGCUCGAAAGCGUGGGUAGCAAACAGGAUUAGAUACCCUGGUAGUCCACGCCCUAAACGAUGUCAAUUAGCUGUUGGGCAACUUGAUUGCUUAGUAGCGUAGCUAACGCGUGAAAUUGACCGCCUGGGGAGUACGGUCGCAAGAUUAAAACUCAAAGGAAUUGACGGGGACCCGCACAAGCGGUGGAUGAUGUGGAUUAAUUCGAUGCAACGCGAAGAACCUUACCUGAUCUUGACAU